RNAcentral lists this ribosomal RNA (429 nucleotides) under uncultured bacterium. RNAcentral describes it as "bacterial SSU rRNA". It matches the Rfam family "Bacterial small subunit ribosomal RNA", at positions 355 to 776 of the family's 1533-position model. The record is from RNAcentral.
UUAGGAAUAUUCGUCAAUGGAGGAAACUCUGAACGAGCAAUGCCGCGUGUGUGAUGAAGGCCCUUCGGGUUGUAAAACACUGUUGUUUGGAAAGAAUGAAUAAAAUAGGAAAUGGUUUUAUUUUGACGGUACCAUUCAAGAAAGCUCCGGCUAACUACGUGCCAGCAGCCGCGGUAAUACGUAGGGAGCGAGCGUUAUCCGGAUUUAUUGGGCGUAAAGCGUGCGCAGGCGGCUUGUUAAGUCUAAAAUUAAAGUCCGAAGCUUAACUUCGGUUCGUUUUAGAAACUGACAGGCUUGAGUGUGGUAGAGGCAAACGGAAUUUCUAGUGUAGCGGUAAAAUGCGUAGAUAUUAGAAGGAACACCAGUGGCGAAGGCGGUUUGCUGGGCCAUUACUGACGCUCAUGCACGAAAGCGUGGGGAGCAAAUAGG